GUAGGUGGCAAGCGCUGUCCGGAAUUAUUGGGCGUAAAGCGCGCGCAGGUGGGUUCUUUAAGUCUGAUGUGAAAGCCCCCGGGCUCAACCGGGGAGGGUCAUUGGAAACUGGGGAACUUGAGUGCAGGAGAGGAAAGUGGAAUUCCACGUGUAGCGGUGAAAUGCGUAGAUAUGUGGAGGAACACCAGUGGCGAAGGCGACUUUCUGGCCUGUAACUGACACUGAGGCGCGAAAGCGUGGGGAGCAAACAGGAUUAGAUACCCUGGUAGUCCACGCCGUAAACGAUGAGUGCUAAGUGUUGGGGGGUUUCCGCCCCUCAGUGCUGCAGCUAACGCAUUAAGCACUCCGCCUGGGGAGUACGGCCGCAAAGACUG
RNAcentral lists this ribosomal RNA (374 nucleotides) under uncultured organism. Its description in RNAcentral is "partial 16S ribosomal RNA". It matches the Rfam family "Bacterial small subunit ribosomal RNA", at positions 527 to 896 of the family's 1533-position model. The record is from RNAcentral.